GGACGAACGCUGGCGGCGUGCUUAACACAUGCAAGUCGAACGGAAAGGCCCAGCUUGCUGGGUACUCGAGUGGCGAACGGGUGAGUAACACGUGGGUGAUCUGCCCCAAACUUCGGGAUAAGCCUGGGAAACUGGGUCUAAUACCGGAUAUGACCUGCUCCUGCAUGGGGGUUGGUGGAAAGCUUUGCGGUUUGGGAUGGGCCCGCGGCCUAUCAGCUUGUUGGUGGGGUAAUGGCCUACCAAGGCGACGACGGGUAGCCGACCUGAGAGGGUGAUCGGCCACACUGGGACUGAGACACGGCCCAGACUCCUACGGGAGGCAGCAGUGGGGAAUAUUGCACAAUGGGCGCAAGCCUGAUGCAGCGACGCCGCGUGAGGGAUGACGGCCUUCGGGUUGUAAACCUCUUUCGCCAGGGACGAAGCGCAAGUGACGGUACCUGGAGAAGAAGCACCGGCCAACUACGUG
This 466-nucleotide ribosomal RNA is filed under the name uncultured bacterium. RNAcentral describes it as "bacterial SSU rRNA". It matches the Rfam family "Bacterial small subunit ribosomal RNA", at positions 27 to 507 of the family's 1533-position model. The record is from RNAcentral.